UUUUUUUUUUUUUUUUUUUUUUGAGUGGCAGAAUGUAGCAGCUUCAGAUAAAGGUCAAGAGGAGAGAAAAGUGUUGUACUGGGUCAGAUCCAGCCAAAUAUCCAAAAUAUUGUGGCUCCCCUCCGCACUUCCAUGUCAUAUAGCAUGCAUUGUGUGUGUGUGUGUACAUACAUUUAAUAUAACACGGAGGGUGGCUGAGUCCUCCAGCUGGAAGGACCUGGGACAUCCCGAGUGUCCCGUCUUCACUUGCUGCUGGGGAUGUACAGGGGUAGAUGGACCAAGGUCAGCAUCCUUCCUCCAUUCAGUGUUUCUGAAUUUGCCUUCCCAGAACUCUUCUUGGAAAGCUUCCUUGAACCGACCGUUACUCUUUUUCCUAGCCUGCAUUUGUAUCUCUUUUUAUAAACCUCAACCCGGUGCUGUGGCUGUUUGAGUAGAUGUCUCAUUCUUCCUAGGAUGCUCCAGGCUGUUUUUCAUCAACUUUGAUAUAUUUCAGCACCUACCUAGCGUGCGCCCUGGAACAGUGAAGGUGCUCACUAUGUACUGAUUGCAUUGAGUGAAAGGUGUUGAAUACAUUCUGUAUAUUCUUUCCUACUGUAGGAGUCAGGGCUUCUAAGCACUAGUGCUAAAAUUUCCAUUUUAAGGCUCCAGGGACAAUCCCCUCAUUCCUGGAAUCUGAGAGUGGGUCAGCAAAUUCAAAUUGACUGCCUGAGUCUCCUUCAUGUGCCUGUGUUUAAGUUUUAUUAUUUUGGCUUUUAGCCACUGUGUUCCCCCACCCCCUUAAAAAUGUGGUAAAAUAUAAUAACAUAAAAUUUACUGCUUUAACCAUUUUUAUGUGUACAAUUCAGCAUCGCUAGCUACAUUCAUAUUGUUAUGCAACAGUGUCCACUCUUCAUCUCCAGAAUUUUUUUUGUCUUCUCCAACUGAAACUUGGUACCCAGCUGAAUAGGAAUUCUCCUUGCAUGCGCACACGAGUGUGCGCUCAUGCGCGCGCGCGCGCGCACACACACACACACACACAAAAAGACCACACACCCAUAAAAAAGAAUGAAAUAAUGCCAUUUACAGCAUUAAAUGGCUGGACCUAGAAAUUAUCAUACUAAAUGAAGUAAGUCAGAGAAAGACAAAUACCAUAUGAUAUCACUUAUAGGUAGAAUUUAAACUAUGAUGCAAAUGAACUUAUUUACAAAACAGAAAGACUCACAGACAUAGAAAACAAACUUAUGUUUGCCAAAGGGGAAAGGGGCUAGAGGAGAUAAAUUAAGAAUUGGGGAUUAACCGAUACAAAUUGCUAUACAGAGAAAAGAUAAGUGGUAAAGUCCUACCGUAGAGCACGGGGAACUAUAUUCAAUAUCCUGCAAUAAACCAUAAUGGAAAAAAUACGAAAAAGAAUAUGUAUAUAUAACUGAAUCACUUUGCUAAACACCAGAGACUAACACAUUAUAAAUCAACUAUACUUUAAUAAAAAUACAACAUACAUACAUAAAUAAAAAUAAUGCCCCCCAACUCUCUAGUAACCACCAUUCUAUUUUUUGUCUUUAAGAAUUUAACUACUCCGGGUACCGCAUACAAUAUUUGUCCUUUUGUGACUGACUUAUUUCACUUAGCAUUAUGUUUCAAGGUUCAUCUAUGUCGUAUCAGAAUUUCAUUCAUUUAAGGCAGCUAUUGUCUUUUAAGACUCAAGAGUUCCACUCUUUCUAGGUUUUGUAGCCAGCAGUGGAUUUUUCUUUCAGAACCAUCCUUGGCCUUUUCCUGGAAUGACAUUUCCAAGGGCAAGCCCUGUUCUUCCUGGGUGGUAUUCUUCUGGGGAGCAGAGUAGCAGAGCCGAGGCAAUUAAUAUUAGAGCAACACGUGAACAUCUCCUGUGUGUCAGAGGCUCUACUUCUGACCAGUGGAUGAGGCCAAAGAUAGCUCAGUCUUUUGAAGGAGACAAUUGUAUACUCUGCUAACUAUAUCGUACUGUGUGCUAGAGCUAGAAAAGGGACCAGAAGGGAUCUUCUCAUCUGUUGAAGACUGUGAUUGAAAUUUAAGAAAGCUUCCAAGAAGAGGGGGUAUUUCAGAUGGGCCUUGAAGGAUGAAUAGGUGUUCAAGGUAGAGAAAGAAGGGAGGGCAUUCCACAAACAGCCUGAACUAAGGCGCAUGAAAACUCGGGGUUUGUUGGAAGGGUAGCAGUGGGCUGUGGAUAUGGAAAGCAGAGGGUGGCGAAUGAUGGGGGCUUAGAGGAGUUGGAACACCGUGCUGAGGAGUUCAUGGGAACAGAUCACUUGGAGGUGUCAUGCAGUGAGACUGACCCAAAUCGAUUUGUGGGUUGACUGGGUGAUGGCUAGAUCAGAGGAAGAGAGAUGGGAUUGGAAAGCAGCAUGUAUGGGGGAGAGUGGGAGGCAAUGUGGUUGCACCGUCUUUGGCAGGAGGUGGUGCGGGUGUGAGCCAGGGCAGCCAGACAAGAGUUUGUUCAUGGUCAGUAGUGUUCACUGGGUUUGUUGACGUCAGAGAUCAUGGGCCCACCCCCACCUGGCUUGCUUUCUUAAUAUUCUGAAGCUCUUAUUUCAAUUCCAGUUUUGUGUCUGUAUUUUCUAUCAGAUCUUUUGUUAGUGUAACCAAAGUGGCAAGAAGGGAUUGGUGUAUAAAGGACAACUGGACAGGUUCCUACCUUCAGGCUUUCCACUCAGUCAUGCACGUUUGGGGGUAGUUUUCCGUAGUUUUCCACGUGCUGAGUGAUGUGGUUCCAAUACAUCUUUCAUGUGGAAAGAUACGGUUGUUAAGAUUGUAUAUGAUAGACAUAGACGAGUCGGAAUAUAAUUGCGGUUAGAGCAGAUCAGCCACGCUACAUUAGGAACGCACUCUCCUCUCCCGGUGAUCUCUUGGUAGCAGAAGAACUCGCUUUCUUAAAAUGAGUAAAACACGUUGAAGAACAAAGCUGAGAAAUCCUUGGGGCAGCCAUCAGCAUGUCUCCAUGGUCCACAGAGAACUCAGCUCUGGGAGUUCCCUGGUGGCCUAGAGGUUAAGGAUCCAGCAUUGUAACUGCUGUGGCGUGGGUUCGAUUCCGGGCCUGGGAACUUCAGGCAUGCCAUGGGGUCGGCCAAAAAAAAAAAAAGAAAGAAAGAAAGAAAAAGAACUCAGCUCUUCCCAAGUGUUUUGACAGGCAGCUUAACAGAAAAAGACGUCAUUCUUGCCCAAAGGUAGUUUGUAUACUGUGUUGUAAGAUGUUUAGAAAUUACUGUGGAACAUUAGAAAAAACAGAAUUCAGUUGGCCCUCUUAACGAGUGCGCUAUAAGGAGGGCCCCACACAUUCAGAAAGGGAAACUACUACUUGGUACAAGUUAUUCAAAGAAGAGCAUCUCCAGCAGUCAUUAGUUGACGAAAAGCUGAUUGAGGAAAAAGUGCUGAAAUAUACUAAAAAUAAGAUGAGUUUCAAGGAAAAUAACCCUUUUGCUAACCUUUGCAUUAGUCAGUUCCUUUUUAGAGUAUUUUUUCCUGUUUUAGUCACCGCUUUAAAAGUGUGUAUAAAUAUAGAAGACCAAGAGGAGUAUGAUUAACAUAAUUUAAGAUGUAGGGCAUGGGUUUUAAAAGGAAAGGUUAGAGAAAUUUGGGGACUACAAUGGGCUGACUUAGUUAUCUUCAAUAUAAAAAGAGUAAGAGACUACUUAUGGGCAAGCCAAUCCUUAACCCACUGAGCGAGGCCCGGGAUCGAACCUGUGUCCUCAUGGAUACUAGUCAGAUUCAUUUCCUCUAUGCCACCACGGGAACUCCUGUGUCCUUCUUAAUGAUGAUUACACCUUGCAAAUAUUCCUUCCCCCCUCCCCCAUUCUUUUGUCUGUUUCUCUCUUACAAGGGAGGUACCAGGAGGACAGGGACUCUGUUUUGUUCUUUUCUGUUUUUCUAGCCUCAAGCACAAAGUUGGCACAUAGUAGGUACUUAAGAAUAGCUGUUGAACGAACGAACGAGUGAGGCCGCCAGGGGGAGAAGUGGGGUACCAAGGGUGAGAAAAGUGCACAAAACCGGUCAGUGGGUAAUGGACUCCUGGAAGGGAUGCUUGCCUGGGGUUCAAGAGAAGGGGGGGAGGUGAGAGUGGAAGGAAAGGGAAUUCUCAGGGCCUUUCCUCCUGUUGUUUGUUGCCUCUGCUUUAGGUAAGAGUGUGCUAAAAACAGGAGACACAGAGUGUCCUAAAAAGCACUUGGGCUCGUUCUCAGACACGCUAAGUCUGGGAAGCCGUCGACAGUGCCCUGCUGCUGCAUAAAGUUUGUUCUUUUUUUUUUUUCUAAAACAGCCAAAGGCUCUCUAAAAACCUAGUUUUCCCUGUUUGUAAGUCAUCUGGGAGAGAGAGAGAGAGAGAGAGAGAGAGAGAGAGUGUGUGUGUGUGUGUGUGUGUGUGUGUUUCAAGCAUCUGACUCCUGUAUUUACAUUCUCUGCCCCGGCCUUCAGAUUUUUUUCUGAGCGACUCCAGAUUAGAUUAUCGGUGUUGGGCUAAUGGAGCAAUUUUGCGGCAAACAGCCUCUGUGCCUUGGACUGUUUGACUCGUCUCGCCUUGUGUAACCAAAAACGUAUCUUGAUUUGGUCUGGUCUGGUCUGUCAUAGUCUGACUUAAGGACAUGAGGUCCCAGACCUUAGGAGGCCUCACUUCAAACAUUUGCCUAUUAACAGAAGGGCGAAACAAUAAAAUUAAACAAAACAAGAAAAAAUCAUCUCUUCAAAAACAAAAGUCCCACCCACACCCAAAUAAUUCACUUUACAAAGUGUCCUGGGAUGAUGGCUGUUUCCCCAGGAAAUUUUUUUUGAACCACUGGGUUCUGCUAGAAGCAUAUUCCACGGGGAACAUUAGAGGCCACAGAGACAAUUCUCACCCCCGUCAGCCCAUCACACCCUCAUCAUCUCUGUACUCGAUUCAGCCCAGAAGUCAGACUGCAGGUCAGCUUAGCUGCCUGCGUUUAAGUGCUUUAAAAAUUUUUUUAGGAGUUCCCAUUGUGGUCCAGAGGAAACGAGUCCAACUAGGAACCAUGACGUUGUGGGUUCGAGCCCUGAUCUCACUCAGUGGGUUAAGGAUCCGGAGUUACCGUAAACUGUGGUGUAGGUCACAGAUACAGCUCGGAUCUGGUGGUGGUGUGCCUGUGGCGUAAGCUGGCAGCUGUAGCUCCGACUGGACCCCUAGCCUGGAAACCUCCAUAUGCCAUGGGUGAGGCACUAAAAAGACAAAAAAAAAAAAAA
This 5199-nucleotide long non-coding RNA is filed under the name Sus scrofa (pig). Its description in RNAcentral is "lncRNA (ENSSSCG00015055263.1)". The stretch from base 2981 to 3053 matches the Rfam family "tRNA". The record is from RNAcentral. Lineage: Eukaryota; Metazoa; Chordata; Mammalia; Artiodactyla; Suidae.